CAAAGGUAGCGUAAUCAUUUGUCUUUUAAAUAAAGACCAGUAUGAAUGGCAAAACGAAAGCCUCACUGUCUCUCUAACUAAGUCAAUGAAAUUGAUCUCUCCGUGCAGAAGCGGAAAUAAAAAUAUAAGACGAGAAGACCCUGCGGAGCUUUAAACUCUAUUAACAACUAUAAAUGCUUUAAUAUAAGUUUUUGGUUGGGGCGACCAUGAGGUAUAGAAUAACCCUCACGACACUAAUUAAGAAGGACACUUCAAAUAACUAGUAUAGUAUAUUGACCCAAUAAUUGAUCACGAACCAAGUUACCCCAGGGAUAACAGCGCAAUCUACUCAAAAAGUCCCUAUCGACGAGCAGGUUUACGACCUCGAUGUUGGAUCAGGACUCCCAAAUAGCGCAACAGCUAUUAAAGGUUCGUUUGUUCAACGAUUAAAGU
This 432-nucleotide ribosomal RNA is filed under the name Bolitoglossa rufescens. RNAcentral's name for it is "partial 16S ribosomal RNA". It matches the Rfam family "Bacterial large subunit ribosomal RNA", at positions 1951 to 2594 of the family's 2925-position model. Lineage: Eukaryota; Metazoa; Chordata; Amphibia; Caudata; Plethodontidae. The record is from RNAcentral.